RNAcentral lists this long non-coding RNA (273 nucleotides) under Vicia faba (fava bean). The record is from RNAcentral. Lineage: Eukaryota; Viridiplantae; Streptophyta; Magnoliopsida; Fabales; Fabaceae.
AUGAUCAAGUUACAACCUAAGAUCUAUGACCAUAUUAUGCUAACUGUUCGUAUUUCGUUCAUUCCAUCGGUAUGCUCUCAGGUACCUGUAAUUGUGAUCUGUUUGCCAGAACCAAGGGGUCUUUCUGUGGAAACCUUCACGAACAAUCAUCGUUUUUUGAUGGUUUUUCCGCUUCUCACCGCUGCUCUUUCCACACCUCCGGAUAUCUGUUCGCGAAGAGGCUGGACGAGUGGAAUGAGGGAAAGCGGCUCGAUUGACAAAAAAGAAGAGUAG